GCAAUACGUCACGAGCAAUGUGUCCAGCGACUACCAGUCAGCGGCGUGACGAUCUGACUGGGCUAAGAAAUUGGGGAAACCUGCUAAAUAAAUGGAAACCAGACAGACCUCAAUGAAUCUGCAGAAUUAUCCGUAGUGUGAACGGAGCCUUAAAGCUAUUUGCUUGCAACUAAGAUAGAGACCUCAGAGUGACGCCCGGAGGUCCAAGAGGAGUCGUCAGAAGACAAAACAUUUGAGGAAGAUACAGAUUGUAUGGAAGGACAACGAUCUGGGUUUUUUCCAGUUCUGAGUGAGAGAGCCGCAUAAAUGAACUUUGGCUAAGAAAGAAAUGGAUGCUAAAUAUGCUAAUAUAUACAGAGAUAAAGCUCAACUAACCAAUCAAAAUGUAACAUGCUGAUUUUGACGUCAUAACUAACCACCCUUUUUUGUCAAAUGUAACUAAAUGUACUUCC
Molecule: long non-coding RNA, 452 nt
Organism: Hyla sarda
Lineage: Eukaryota; Metazoa; Chordata; Amphibia; Anura; Hylidae
Exons: 3
Source: RefSeq, a predicted model, not a curated record